UUUGUGUUGUUUCGUUCUAGUUGGUCAGUAGUGGAGCCCAGUUGGGGUCGAUCGGGGACCUUUGUCGCAUUUGGGAUUCUUCUUUUAUUUUGGUUCCAUAGUCGGACCUUGAUUGUAUCUGAAUGAUGUAAUGCUUUAUUCAUGUAAUUGUGUGAAGUGGCGAUUGUAAGCCAACUAUGUAUCUCUUUCCCUUAUGUAUUACAUGGGUUGUGUGAAGAUUACCUCACUUGCGACAUUGCUUUCAAUGGGGUUAUGCCUCUAAGUCGUGCUUCGACACGUGGGAGAUAUAGCCGCAUCGAGGGCAUUACAAGUUGGCAAUCAGAGCCUUCCCCGACCUUAGGAGCCCCCACUGAUUGAUCGUUUUAGCGGCCGAGUGGUGUCUAGAAAAAUGUUUUGAGUCAUUUAGGAAUUAUAUAUCGGAGACUUUAGGAAUUCUUUUUACUUCCCAGUCUCCUCAUCGCUCUGGUAAGGCAUCCUGACGUAGAGUUUUGACUCUUCUCCCCUCAAAUUUCACUGAAAAAAUUUUAGGAUCACGCGGGUAUCUUGGAAUCGUUCCGAUGGUUUUAUGACGAGAACAUUGUCUUGGUGCCUCCUGUCAGGGGUUUUGUGGAAGUGUCCCGGGGAGUUGAGCUCUGAGGUGUUGUCGUCAUAAUUUUAUCGUUGCAGUUCUGGAAUACCUGAAAAUCUCUUUUAUGCAGUUCGUUGGUGAGAUAACCUCGACGCCACCCAGUAUUGGGGCGGGAGUUCGGUAGUAUUGCCAUAACUCGUAUAACGGAUGCUUUUCGAAGGUUGAGGUAGAUGAUUUCCGAAGGUUUCUGGGUUAUGUGUUGAAGGAUGGAUACAGCUGGAUGUAGGAUUUGCUAGAUUUGGGUGAGAUAUUAUGCUUCCCCUGUAUCCCCAACACCUGAUUGCAUAACCGGAAAGGUUCGGGAGUUUCAUAGGUGGGAAUUCAAGUAGCUCUUAGGAUAUCUUUCCGACAGAUGUAUGAUAUGAAAUUGGGGUUCGACGUCUAGUGGUCUGCCUAUUCACGGUCGGUUUUACAGUGGUCUCGUUGUGUCUUAAAGAGUCCUUGGCUAUGCCGACUCGGGGACGCUUCGUAUGUCAUGUGCACUACCUUGUACAUGAUGGUGUUGUACGAUCGAGCCCGUGUAGGCCCCACCACGAAAACUUCGGACGAAAUCUCUAUCAUAUGUUUGUUCUGGCUUAUUCUGCAAGCCAAUCCUUUGUUUUGUUUGGAGUUGUGGUAUUCGAGUUACUUCAAUGUCAAGUGUUGAUUCCAUACCUUCCCCAAUUGGUGUUCUCAUGUUCCCAUGUGCAUACUAAUCCUUCUUGAUCAUCGAGAUUGUCUUGCCAAUCCUUCUCAACCGGUGUGUUUCUCUUCAAGUGAAUCCGAUCAUUUCAACUUCCGCAAGAUCAAUUAUCACUUCUUCUCAACGGUGUUCGUUUCAUCCAUUCCAAAUUGUCUUUGUUUCUCCCACCCUCCCUCCCUUGUUUUUUUCUUCAAGGACUCAGAUUUCUUAUUCUAGUAUCCUUUAUUGAUGGGAAGCCUCUCCAUUCCUUUUCCGUCAAGGUUCUUAUCCGUUGAUUCCCAGGAAGAUGCUAACGAAGCUUAAAGUUCGUCAUUCUUCAUUCUUUUUCUUCUCCGGUGGAUUCAAUUCAAACUUCGGUAUUGAGCAUUGUCUUUUCUUUUGUCCAAUGCUUUUCUUAUGCCGGAGUACCUCAUUAUCAUUCCACUUCUCACUAUUUAAUUGUUCCUGAGUGCUGGAGAUAUCUCAAAGAUUCGUGUGUCCACUCUACAUUCGUUCAAGCUCUGUCGAGGAUGUUAUAUCAUUCAAGUCAUUUAAUUAAACCGGUGCAUUCUCCUUUUCAAGUAAUCUUUUCAACGGUGUUUUCUUUUCAGUGGGCCCUAACCCACAGGUCUAUUCCCAGGAUCUUACCUGACUCUUCUUAUUUCCCGGAGAUAUCCUCAAAUUUCUUUUCGAAGUUUGACGCAAGAAUGAUUUAUCAUCAGUCAAAUGUCUUUCUCCAAGAUCUUUCAAAUUUUUUUCAUAGUUGGCUCAACCUCUUCGCUCUUGUUUCUUCCGGAGUGCUUCAACAAUUUAUUGUGGUGUUUCUCGUUGUCAUUCUCAGGUUCUGAAGAACGAAGAAGACUUUUCCUCCAUAUCUAUCCGUUUUCUCUGAGAUUCGUGAUUCUAGCUUGUUGCCAUACUCUCAUAAUUAUUUUCGAUUGUUGAAAUUCUUUUCACCUAUCCGGAGCAAUUCAAGAGUCUUCUCAGUGUGUUAUCCGGAGUCCAUCAAUUCAGGUUUAUUCAUUCUCAGCUGUCAGUUAUCAUUCUCCUAUCUUACCGGUGCAUCGUUCAAGUGAUCUCUAAUCAGUUUGUGAUCACUUCGUUCUCUUGUAUCUAAAUUCUCUCAAGUAUCUCCAUCCAUUUCAUAAUUAUUCCUGGUUUUCCUUUAUUUUCCUUCGUUCGUUUCCAAUUCUUACCGGUGGCUCGCUCAAGAUUUCUAUUCCUUUGUUAUUGUAUUGAUUCAGUCGUUAUUUCUAUCCUACUGGUGGUUCGUUCAAUAUUUUCCCAAGUUGGCGCUAUAUCUAUCUUAAUCCUUUCUACGAGAAUAAGUAGUGUGCCAAAUCGAUUGAGUGUCAUCAAUUUAAUUGGUGAAGGAUACGCAUAACGUAAUUCUUAUUCUUGCUUCAUCCAAGUGAUUAAUUCUUUAUUCCGGAGGCUCAUCAAAUUCUCGGUUUCACUUGAUUCAUUUUUCUUUCCCGGAGUCCCAAGCUCUCGCAAUUAUAUCACCACGAAGAUUUAUCUAAAUCUUUACAAGGUUCAAACUUGUGUUCUCAACUACCCUUUCUUUCUUUUUGAUAAUUCUUUUGUUUAACGGAGUUCUUCAUGAAGGUUCUACAUGUUGUUUCAUAAAGGAUUUAAUUCCUUCUCGAAGUGUUCUUCAAGCUUCUUUUCUGAGGAGUUUAAGCAUUCUUCAUCUUGCAUCCGAAGUGCAAUUCUUUCUUCUGUAUCAUUGGAGGUGGUAUUAUGUCAUUUUUGAUAAUUUGAGUUCAUGCUUCAUGAUUCACAUGUUGUUAAGAAUGAGAUAUAUUAAAUCCAUCAACCUCUUCGUUGGUGUUAUAUUGGGUUAUAUUUCACCUAAAGUUUUCCCUAAGGUCUGUUGCUAUUUAUGGUGCUUAUAAGUGACCCAAGUUCUUCAUUUAUCCUCUCAGUGAAAUAGUUUCUCGUCUCCCUGUUGAGAUCAAUCCAAUCUAUUGUUUUCGUUAGUGGCAGAAUUUCACCUCAUAGUUUUGAGAUGUUUUCCAUAAGCCCACUACAAACUUAUUCUUUUCGUAGUUGGUUUUCCAACAACUCCGUUCUAGCAUUUGUUGCAACCGUCCUCUCUCAAGAUCUUGUUUCCCUUCGUUCCGGAGACAUUGUGAUGUUGCUCUCCUCAACCCAUCUUCUCGGAUUGUCAGGACCAUGUUUUGAUCGUGCUUAUCCUUUUAACCGGAGUAUUGUGUCCCUUUUCUCAAGCUCUUUUAUGUUAUCUAGUUUUUCAUCUCUUUUAAACCGGAGUGCUGUCCGAGAUCUUUCUUACCCCCUUGUUCCAUUCAUUCAAUAGUUACGGAGGUAGUGUAUUGUGAUUUCAUCAAGUAUCUUCUCAUCUUAUCGAGUUAUUAUUCAAUUCUUUUUCUUUUCAACCGGAGUGUUGUUGGAAUUUGUUCUUCCUUGUUUCUCUUUUCUAACGGAGUGUUUCCAACUUCGUUCAUCUCCGUUGUAUUCUUUUCUCUAAAUGGCUUAACCUUUUUCAAGGUUCUUUGGUUUCACUCGUUUGUCAAAGGAGCAACUUAGUUUUACCUCUUCUUUUUCUCUUCUGUUUUCCCUCCGGUGCCAUUCUAGAUCUCGGGACGAGAUCCUCUCGUAGUGGUGGAGUGUUGUAAUGCCCCGAGACCGAUGUGCCAGGUGUCCUCCAGUUAUUCGCUGUGGUUGCCUUGUCUUUGCUUGCGUGUCAUGCAUUUCAUAUCAUGUCAUCAUGUGCAUUGCAUCACCAUGUUUUCAAAACCUGCAUCCGUCCGGGUUCCCCCAGUGCCAUCCUUUGUCCGUUCUGAGCCCAGACACACUUGCACGCGCCCCUGGCACGUCCGAAAUAUUAUUUUAUAAGUGAUCGGAAAAUGUUCUUGGAAUGGGGUGAAAGUUGGCAUGUGGUGUUGUUAUAGUCUAGGUAGACCGCCUGCCAAGUUUCAUCGUGUUCGGAGUCCGAUUGACGCCCAACGGUUAACUAUAGCGGCAAUAUAGCCGGUCUAACUUCGGACGUUUUCGGUCUCUGAAAACAGUCGCCGGUCCUCCAUCUCUUCUCUUCUCUCAGCUCGAGACCGUCUACACAGCCCACUACCUACCCCAGGCCCAACCUAACCUCUCUCGUCAGCCCGCGGCCCUCCUCGCGCCCGAAAGUUGUCCCGGACCCGAACCGGACAGUCGUUAUCGUUGUGUCCAGAUCAUCCCCAAACAUUUACAAAACGUCACCGUUUUCUUAUUUGGAACCCCUAGCUAUUUUAUUCGCGAUCGUCCGAUUACGAUCGGAGGGACGAUAUAGCCCCUAACCAAACCCACUUGCUAUAUAUAUUUGCCCAACCUAGACCAAAUCCCUAUUUCCUAGGGAUCCAUCCCACCGCCGCCACCCACUUCCUCGGAUUCCACGCCAAACCAAUCCCUGCAUCUCUCUCGAUCCAAACCUCCACCAACCAGAUCCACCCCGCAGACGAAUGCCUCCGCAUCACCCAUCACCCGAGCCAGCCGAGGGCCUCGUUCCCGAGCCGAGCUCCAUGGGAGCAUGCCAGACGCCAUGGCCGCCGAAGGGACUCCGCCGCCUCACCGAAUCCACGCCUCCUCCUCACGCCAGGGGCUCGUCCUCGCGCCCGAGCGCGCGCAGUCAGCUCCGACUCGGCGCCCCACCCAAACUCCAUCUGCAGCCGUGCUUCCUUGCCUCCACGCCCGCAACCACCCGAGGAGAGAGCCUCGCGCUCGUGCACGAGCACGCACAUGAACUUCUGCGCCCGCGCCUCUACCACCCUGACGCCAUGAAAGAGCUCCGAGCUCUUCCCCAACGUCGGCAUCCUCAACCACCCCGCGCCACUACCGGCAGCUCGUCGCCGGAGACCCAUCAGCAGACCACCAGCGUUGUGCCCCGCCAUGCUUCGUGCCUUGCCGUUUGUCACCGAGAGCGUGCUGCACCCCUUACUGAACCUUGCCGUCUCCUUGCCUGCUCUGCAUCCAGACUGCAGCACCGAGGAGAGGCCUCUGUGUGGACCCCGCCAAUCCGUCCUGCUGCUGCCGUCAAGCUGCAUCCACGACAUCCUUGUUGGGGAACGUUGCAGAAAAUAAAAAUUUUCCUACGAUUUCACCAAGAUCCAUCUAUGAGUUCAUCUAGCAACGAGCGAUUGGAUGCAUCUACAUACCUUUGUAGAUCGCGAGCGGAAGCGUUCAAAGAACGGGGAUGAUGUAGUCGAACACGACGUGAUCCAAAUCACCGAUGACCAAGUGCCGAACGGACGGCACCUCCGCAUUCAACACACGUACGGAGCGGAUGACGUCUCCUCCUUCUUGAUCCAGCAAGGGGGGGGGGAGGAGAGGUUGAUGAAGAUCCAGCAGCACGACGGCGUGGUGGUGGAUGCAGGACGUCACAGUAGCAGGGCUCCGCCUAUACUACGCGAGAGAGAGAUGUAACGGGGAGAGAGGGAGGCGCCAAGGGCUGUACCUCAAGUCCCUCCUCUCCCCCACUAUAUAUAGGGGUGCUAGGGGGGGCGCCGGAUCUCCUAGGGGGGGUCGGCGGCCAAGGGGUGGGGCUUGCCCCCCAAGCAAGGGGGCGCCCCCUUUAGGGUUUCCCCCCCAACCCUAGCCGCAUGGGCCCUAGGGGGGUGGAGCCCCAGCCCACUUUGGGCUGGGUUCCUUCCCACUUUGGCCCAUGGGGCCCUCCCGGGAUAGGUGGCCUCACCCGGUGGACCCCCGGGACCCUUCCGGUGGUCCCGGUACAAUACCGGUGACCCCGAAACUUGUCCCGAUGGCCGAAAUAGCACUUCCUAUAUAUAAUUCUUUACCUCCGGACCAUUCCGGAACUCCUCGUGACGUCCGGGAUCACAUCCGGGACUCCGAACAAUAUUCGGGUUACUGCAUAUACAUAUCUUCACAACCCUAGCGUCACCGAACCUUAAGUGUGUAGACCCUACGGGUUCGGGAGACAUGUAGACAUGACCGAGACGACUCUCCGGUCAAUAACCAACAGCGGGAUCUGGAUACCCAUGUUGGCUCCCACAUGCUCCACGAUGAUCUCAUCGGAUGAACCACGAUGUCGAGGAUUCAAUCAACCCCGUAUGCAAUUCCCUUUGUCAAUCGAUAUGUUACUUGCCCGAGAUUCGAUCGUCGGUAUCCCAAUACCUCGUUCAAUCUCGUUACUGGCAAGUCACUUUACUCGUACCGUAAUGCAUGAUCCCGUGACCAGACACUUGGUCACUUUGAGCUCAUUAUGAUGAUGCAUUACCGAGUGGGCCCAGUGAUACCUCUCCGUCAUACGGAGUGACAAAUCCCAGUCUUGAUCCGUGUCAACCCAACAGACACUUUCGGAGAUACCCGUAGUAUACCUUUAUAGUCACCCAGUUACGUUGUGACGUUUGGUACACCCAAAGCACUCUUACGGUAUCCGGGAGUUACAUGAUCUCAUGGUCUAAGGAAAUGAUACUUGACAUUGGAAAAACUCUAGCAAACGAACUAUACGAUCUUUAUGCUAUGUUUAGGAUUGGGUCUUGUCCAUCACAUCAUUCUCCUAAUGAUGUGAUCUCGUUAUCAAUGACAUCCAAUGUCCAUAGCCAGGAAACCAUGACUAUCUGUUGAUCAACGAGCUAGUCAACUAGAGGCUUACUAGGGACAUGUUGGUGUCUGUUAUUUACACAUGUAUUACGAUUUCCGGAUAACACAAUUAUAGCAUGAAUAAAGACAAUUAUCAUGAACAAGGAAAUAUAAUAAUAAUGCUUUUAUUAUUGCCUCUAGGGCAUAUUUCCAACAGUCUCCCACUUGCACUAAUCUAGUUACAUUGUGAUGAAUCGAACACCCAUGGAAUUCUGGUGUUGAUCAUGUUUUGCCCUCGGGAGAGGUUUAGUCAACGGAUCUGCUACAUUCAGGUCCGUAUGUACUUUACAAAUCUCUAUGUCUCCAUCUUGAACAUUUUCACGAAUGGAGUUGAAGCGACGCUUGAUGUGCCUUGUCUUCUUGAGAAACCUGGGCUCCUUGGCAAGUGCAAUAGCUCCAGUGUUGUCACAGAAGAGCUUGAUCGGCCCCGACGCAUUGGGUAUGACUCCGAGGUCGGUGAUGAACUCCUUCACCCAAAUUGCUUCAUGUGCUGCCUCCGGGGCUGCCAUGAACUCCGCUUCACAUGUAGAUCCCGCCACGACGCUCUGCUUGCAACUGCACCAGCUUACUGCCCCACCAUUCAAAAUAUACACGUAUUCGGUUUGUGACUUUGAGUCAUCCAGAUCUGUGUCGAAGCUAGCGUCGACGUAACCCUUUACGACGAGCUCUUCAUCACCUCCAUAAACGAGAAACAUUUCCUUAGUCCUUUUUAGGUACUUCAGGAUAUUCUUGACCGCUGUCCAGUGUUACUUGCCGGGAUUACUUUGGUACCUUCCUACCAAACUUAUGGGAAGGUUUACAUCAGGUCUGGUACACAGCAUGGCAUACAUAAUAGAACCUAUGGCCGAGGCAUAGGGGAUGACAAUCAUCUCUUCUAUUUCUUCUACCGUGGUCGGACUUUGAGUCGAGCUCAAUUUCAUACCUUGCAACACAGGCAAGAACCCCUUCUUAGACUGAUCCAUAUUGAACUUCUUCAAUAUCUUCUCAAGGUAUGUGCUUUGUGAAAGACCUAUGAGGCGUCUUGAUCUAUCUCUAUAGAUCUUGAUGCCUAAUAUAUAAGCAGCUUCUCCAAGGUCCUUCAUUGAAAAACUCUUAUUCAAGUAGGCCUUGAUGCUGUCCAAGAGUUCUAUAUCAUUUCCCAUCAAAAGUAUGUCAUCUACAUAUAGUAUGAGAAAUGCUACAGAGCUCCCACUCACUUUCUUGUAAACGCAGGCUUCUCCAUAAGUCUGCGUAAACCCAAACGCUUUGAUCAUCUCAUCAAAGCGAAUGUUCCAACUUCGAGAUGCUUGCACCAGCCCAUAAAUCGAGCGUUGGAGCUUGCACACCUUGUCAGCAUUCUUAGGAUCGACAAAACCUUCCGGCUGCAUCAUAUACAAUUCUUCCUUAAGGAAACCAUCAAGGAAUGCCGUUUUGACGUCCAUUUGCCAUAUUUCAUAAUCGUAGAUGCGGCAAUUGCUAACAUGAUUCGGACGGACUUCAGCUUCGCUACCGGUGAGAAAGUCUCAUCGUAGUCAACCCCUUGAACUUGUCGAUAACCCUUAGCGACAAGCCGAGCUUUAUAGAUGGUCACAUUACCAUCCGCGUCUGUCUUCUUCUUAAAGAUCCAUUUAUUUUCUAUGGCUCGCCGUUCAACGGGCAAGUCAGUCAAAGUCCAUACUUUGUUUUCAUACAUGGAUCCUAUCUCGGAUUUCAUGGCUUCUAGCCAUUUGUCGGAAUCCGGGCCCGCCAUUGCUUCUUCAUAGUUCGAAGGUUCACCGUUGUCUAACAACAUGAUUUCCAAGACAGGGUUGCCGUACCAUUCUGGUGCGGAACGUGUCCUUGUGGACCUUCGAAGUUCAAUAGCAACUUGAUCAGAAGUUUCAUGAUCAUCAUCAUUAACUUCCUCUCUAGUCGGUGCAGGCACCUCAGGAACAUUUUCUUGAGUUGCACCAUUUUCCGGUUCAAGAGGAAACACUUCAUCAAGUUCUACUUUCCUCCCACUUACUUCUUUCGAGAGAAACUCCUUCUCUAGAAAGCAUCCAUUCCUGGCAACAAAGAUCUUGCCUUCGGAUCUGAGGUAGAAGGUACACCCAACAGUUUCUUCAGGGUAUCCUAUGAAGACGCAUUUUUCCGACUUGGGUUCGAGCUUUUCAGGUUGAAGUUUCUUGACAUAAGCAUCGCAUCCCCAAACUUUUACAAACGACAACUUAGGUUUCUUCCCAAACCAUAAUUCAAACGGUGUCCUCUCAACGGAUUUCGACGGAGCCCUAUUUAAAGUGAAUGCAGCAGUCUCUAAAGCAUAGCCCCAAAAAGAUAGCGGUAAAUCGGUAAGAGACAUCAUAGACCGCACCAUAUCUAAUAGAGUGCGAUUACGACGUUCGGACACACCAUUACGCUGAGGUGUUCCAGGCGGCGUCAGUUGUGAAACUAUUCCACAUUUUCUUAAGUGUGUGCCAAAUUCAUGACUCAAGUAUUCUCCUCCACGAUCUGAUUGUAGAAACUUGAUUUUCCUGUCACGUUGAUUCUCAACCUCAUUCUGAAAUUCCUUGAACUUUUUCAAAGGUUUCAGACUUGUGUUUCAUUAAGUAGACAUACCCAUAUCUACUCAAGUAAUCAGUGAGGGUGAGAACAUAACGAUAGCCACCACGAGCCUCAACACUCAUUGGACCGCACACAUCAGUAUGUAUGAUUUCCAAUAAGUUGGUUGCUCGCUCCAUUGUUCCUGAGAACGGAGUCUUGGUCAUUUUACCCAUAAGGCACGGUUCGCACGUGUCAAAUGAUUUAUAAUCAAGAGACUCUAAAAGUCCAUCUGUAUGGAGCCUCUUCAUGCGUUUGACGCCUAUGUGACCAAGGCGGCAGUGCCACAAGUAUGUGGGACUAUCAUUAUCAACCUUACAUCUUUUGGUACUCACACUAUGAACAUGUGUAGCAUUACGUUCGAGAUUCAUAAAGAAUAAACCAUUCACCAUAGGAGCAUGACCAUAAAACAUAUCUCUCAUAUAAAUAGAACAACCAUUAUUCUCGGAUUUAAAUGAGUAGCCAUCUCGAAUUAAACAAGAUCCCGAUACAAUGUUCAUGCUCAAAGCUGGCACUAAAUAACAAUUAUUGAGGUUUAAAACUAAUCCCGUAGGUAAAUGAAGAGGCAGCGUGCCGACGGCGAUCACGUCGACUUUGGAACCAUUCCCGACGCGCAUCGUCACCUCGUCCUUCGCCAGUCUCCGCUUAUUCCGUAGUUCCUGCUGUGAGUUACAAAUGUGAGCAACUGCACCGGUAUCAAAUACCCAAGAGCUACUACGAUUACUGGUAAGGUACACAUCAAUUACAUGUAUAUCACAUAUACCUUUUGUUUUGCCGGCCUUCUUGUCUGCUAAGUAUUUGGGGCAGUUCCGCUUCCAGUGACCGUUUCCCUUGCAAUAAAAGCACUCAGUCUCGGGCUUGGGUCCAUUCUUUGGCUUCUUGCCAGCAGCUUGCUUGCCGGGCGCGGCAACUUUCUUGCCGUCCUUCUUGAAGUUCUUUUUACCCUUGCCUUUCUUGAACUUAGUGGUUUUAUUGACCAUCAACACUUGAUGUUCCUUCUUGACUUCUAUCUCCGCUGAUUUCAGCAUUGAAAACAACUCAGGAAUGGUCUUUUGCAUCCCCUGCAUGUUGAAGUUCAUCACAAAGCUCUUGUAGCUUGGUGGAAGCGACUGGAGGAUUCUGUCAAUGACCGCAUCAUCCGGGAGAUUAACUCCCAGCUGAGACAAGCGGUUAUGUAACCCAGACAUAGUGAGUAUGUGUUCACUGACAGAACUAUUUUCCUCCAUCUUACAGCUGAAGAACUUAUCGGAGACUUCAUAUCUCUCAAUCCGGGCGUGAGCUUGAAAAACCAUUUUCAGCUCUUCGAACAUCUCAUAUGCUCCAUGUCUCUCAAAACGCUUUUGGAGUCCCGGCUCUAGGCUGUAAAGCAUGCCGCACUGAACGAGGGAGUAGUUAUCAACACGUGUCUGCCAAGCGUUCAUAACGUCUUGGUUCUGUGGGAUGGGAGGGUCACCUAGCGGUGCUUGUAGGACAUAAUCUUUCUUGGCAGCUAUGAGUAUGAUCCUCAGGUUCUGGACCCAGUCCGUGUAGUUGCUGCCAUCGUCUUUCAGCUUGGUUUUCUUUAGGAACGCGUUGAAGUUGAGGACUACGUUGGCCAUUUGAUCUACAAGACAUAUUGUAAAGAUUUUGGACUAAGUUCAUGAUAAUUAAGUUCAUCUAAUCAAAUUAUCAAUGAACUCCCACUUAGAUUAGACAUCCCUCUAGUCAUCUAAGUAUUACAUGAUCCGAGUUAACUAGGUCGUGUCCGAUCAUCACGUGAGACGGACUAGUCAACGUCGGUGAACAUCUUCAUGUUGAUCGUAUCUUCUAUACGACUCAUGCUCGACCUUUCGGUCUUCUGUGUUCCGAGGCCAUGUCUAUACACAUGCUAGGCUCGUCAAGUUAACCCUAAGUGUUUUGCAUGUGUAAAACUGUCUUACACCCGUUGUAUGUGAACGUAAGGAUCUAUCACACCCGAAUAUCACGUGGUGCUUCGAAACGACGAACUUUAGCAACGGUGGACAGUUAGGGGAGAACACUUCUUGAAAUUGUUAUGAGGGAUCAUCUUAUUUACUACCGUCGUUCUAAGUAAACCAGAUGCAUAAACAUGAUAAACAUCACAUGCAAUCAAAUAAUGAACGUGACAUGAUAUGGCCAAUAUCACAUAGCUCCUUUGAUCUCCAUCUUGGGGCUCCAUGAUCAUCUUGUCACCGGCUUGACACCAUGAUCUCCAUCAUCAUGAUCUCCAUCAUCAUGUCUCCAUGAAGUCGCUCGCCAACUAUUACUUCUAAUACUAUGGCUAACGCGUUUAGCAAUAAAGUAAAGUAAUUUACAUGGCGUUUCUCAAUGACACGCACGUCAUAUAAAAUAAAGACAACUCCUAUGGCUCCUGCCGGUUGUCAUACUCAUCGACAUGCAAGUCGUGAUUCCUAUUACAAUAGCAUGAACAUCUCAUACAUUACAUAUAGAUCAUUCAUCAUUCAUCACAACUUUGGCCAUAUCAUAUCACAAAGCACUUGCUGCAAAAACAAGUUAGACGUCCUCUAAUUGUUGUUGCAAGUUUUACGUGGCUGAAUUAGGGUUCUAGCAAGAACGUCUUCUUACCUACGCGAAAGCCACAACGUGAUUUGUCAACUUCUAUUUACCCUUCAUAAGGACCCUGUUCAUCGAAUCCGCUCCAACAAAAGUGGGAGAGACAGACACCCGCCAGCCACCUUACGCAACUAGUGCAUGUUAGUCGGUGGAACCGGUCUCACGUAAGCGUACGUGUAAGGUUGGUCCGGGCCGCUUCAUCCCACAAUACCGCUGAAGCAAGAAAAGACUAGUAGCGGCAAGAAAGUUGACAAAUCAACGCCCACAACAAAUUGUGUUCUACUCGCGCAAGAAGAACUACGCAUAGACCUAGCUCAUGAUGCCACCGUUGGGGAACGUUGCAGAAAAAAAAAUUCCUAUGGUUUCACCAAGAUCCAUCUAUGAGUUCAUCUAGCAACGAGUGAUCGGAUGCAUCUACAUACCUUUGUAGAUCGCGAGCGGAAGCGUUCAAAGAACGGGGAUGAAGUAGUCGAACACGACAUGAUCCAAAUCACCGAUGACCAAGCACUGAACGGACGGCACCUCCGCGUUCAACACACGUACGGAGCGGAUGACGUCUCCUCCUUCUUGAUCCAGCAAGGGGGGGGAGGAGAGGUUGAUGAAGAUCCAGCAGCAUGACGGCGUGGUGGUGGAUGCAGGGCGUCACAGUAGCAGGGCUGCGCCUAUACUACGCGAGAGAGAGAUGUAACGGGGAGAGAGGGAGGCGCCAGGGGCUGUACCUCAAGUCCCUCCUCUCCCCCACUAUAUAUAGGGGUGCUAGGGGCGGCGCCGGCCCUAGGAGAUGGGAUCUCCUAGGGGGGCGGCGGCCAAGGGGUGGGGCUUGCCCCCCAAGCAAGGGGGCGCCCCCUUUAGGGUUUCCCCCCCCCCCAACCCUAGCUGCAUGGGCCCUAGGGGGGUGGUGCCCCAGCCCACUUUGGGCUGGGUUCCUUCCCACUUUGGCCCAUGGGGCCCCCCGGGAUAGGUGGCCCCACCCGGUGGACCCCCGGGACCCUUCCGGUGGUCCCAGUACAAUAUCGGUGACCCCGAAACUUGUCCCGAUGGCCGAAAUAGCACUUCCUAUAUAUAAUUCUUUACCUCCGGACCAUUCCGGAACUCCUCGUCACGUCCGGGAUCUCAUCUGGGACUCCGAACAAUAUUCGGGUUACUGCAUAUACAUAUGUUCACAACCCUAGCGUCACCAAACCUUAAGUGUGUAGACCCUACGGGUUCGGGAGACAUGUAGACAUGACCGAGACGACUCUCCGGUCAAUAACCAACAGCGGGAUCUGGAUACCCAUGUUGGCUCCCACAUGCUCCACGAUAAUCUCAUCGGAUGAACCAUGAUGUCGAGGAUUCAAUCAACCCCGUAUGCAAUUCCCUUUGUCAAUCGAUAUAUUACUUGCCCGAGAUUCGAUCGUCGGUAUCCCAAUACCUCGUUCAAUCUCGGUACUGGAAAGUCACUUUACUCGUACCGUAAUGCAUGAUCCCGUGACCAGAUACUUGGUCACUUUGAGCUCAUUAUGAUGAUGCAUUACCGAGUGGGCCCAGUGAUACCUCUCCGUCAUACCGAGUGACAAAUCCCAGUCUUGAUCCGUGUCAACCCAACAGACACUUUCGGAGAUACCCGUAGUAUACCUUUAUAGUCACCCAGUUACGUUGUGACGUUUGGUACACCCAAAGCACUCUUACAGUAUCCAGGAGUUACACGAUCUCAUGGUCUAAGGAAAGGAAACUUGACAUUGGAAAAACUCUAGCAAACGAACUAUAUGAUCUUUAUGCUAUGUUUACGAUUGGGUCUUGUCCAUCACAUCAUUCUCCUAAUGAUGUGAUCUCGUUAUCAAUGACAUCCAAUGUCCAUAGCCAGGAAACCAUGACUAUCUGUUGAUCAACGAGCUAGUCAACUAGAGGCUUACUAGGGACAUGUUGGUGUCUGUUAUUCACACAUGUAUUACGAUUUCCGGAUAACACAAUUAUAGCAUGAAUAAAGACAAUUAUCAUGAACAAGGAAAUAUAAUAAUAAUGCUUUUAUUAUUGCCUCUAGGGCAUAUUUCCAACAAUCCCCAUCGCCAAGACCCGGAGAUCAUGUCCUCGCCGGCCUCAUUGCUUUUCCCUUCAGAUCCAGCCUGCUCGAUCCCCUGCUUCAGGACAGAGACGUCGAACGCUGUCGCCACGCGUUGACUGUCCAGCAUGCCAAGGCCCAGCGGGGCCCAAGGCCCAGCUCCUCCCGAGCCGGCCCCUCUCCACGUCGCCCACGCCCUGGCCUCAAGCCUGAUCCGGCCUGCCCUGCCUCCUCCACAAACUGGACUAGGCCCACUAGGUUGAGGCCACACCCGAGCGCCCUUUUUUUGUUGUUGUUGUUUUCCUUCUGUUGGGCCCAAUCUCAGAUGCAGCCUGAUUCCUUUUUUUCUCCGUGGAUCAAAUUUAGAUAUUAUUCCAGAGGCUGCAGUUUUUCGGAAAACCCCUUGCACAACAUGCAUAUAAUAACUCACAAUUUGUGCAUCGGAUUAAAAUGAAUUAUAUAUGAAACUUGCUUAGAAUUUCAUCUAGUUUCAUAAUAUGCAAUUUUCAUCCAUGUUUAAAAUGUUGUUUGCAUAUAAUUUUCUCCUAUGCCAUGCUAAAAUGAUUUAAUUCAUAACUAAAUAACCAUAGCUCCAAGUUUAAUAAACUUUAUAUGUAAUUGGGGUGGAAAAAUGCCUAGUUUAACAUGGUGACCUUACUUUGCAUGUUUAAUAACUCUAAAAUUAUGUUUAGGGCAGAACAGUACCAUAACCAAAAUAUGCAAAUGAGGAGUUUCCGGAAUUGUUGUUCCUUGUUUCCGGCCUCAUUCAAACUUGCCUAAAUGUUUAGUUUACUUAUGCUUCACCCCUUGCCAUGUUAAUCAACAUUUAAUAUUGUUGGGUACAUAAACAAGAUCGAUCUAAAUAGGUCAUGUGGUGUUUUCUUCAAUAUGCAACUCCGUUGCAUGUUGAGCUCAACUUAAUUUGUAGGAUUGUUUGAGCAUUUUGCCAUGCCAUGCUUCAUUAAACCGGACAUGCAUCAUACUUGGUUGUGCAUCAUGCCAUAUUUAUGUGGUGGUUGUUUACCAUGAUUGUUUGCUUCUUUCCGGUGUUGUCUCUUCGGGUUGGUUCCGAUAACGUCGCGUUGUGAGGAACCGUUCGACUACGACCGUUUGACUUCUUCAUGGACUCAUUCUUCUUCCUUGCGGGAUCUCAGGCAAGAUGACCAUACCCUCAAAAUCACAUCUAUCUUUGCUUGCUAGUUGCUCGCUCUUUUGCUAUGCCUAUGCUGCGAUACCUACCACUUGCUUAUCAUGCCUCCCAUAUUGUGAACCAAAGCUCUAACCCACCUUGUCCUAGCAAACCGUUGUUUGGCUAUGUUACCGCUUUGCUCAGCCCUCGUAUAGCGUUGUUAGUUGCAGGUGAAGAUUGAAGUUUGUUCCUUGUUGGAACAUGGAGAUGUUGUUCCUUGUUCGGAACAUGUUUACUUGUUGGGAUAUCACAAUAUAUCUUAUUUAAUUUAUGCAUCUAUAUACUUGGUAAAGGGUGGAAGGCUCGGCCUUAUGCCUGGUGUUUUGUUCCACUCUUGCCACCCUAGUUUCCGUCAUAUCGGUGUUAUGUUCCCGGAUUUUGCGUUCCUUACGCGGUUGGGCUAUUAUGGGAACCCCUUGACAGUUCGCCUUGAAUAAAACUCCUCCAGCAAUGCCCAACAUUGGUUUUACCAUUCGCCACCUAGCCUCUUUUCCCUUGGGUUUCGCGGACUCAAGAGUCAUCUUUAUUUUAAACCGCCCCCCCGGGCCAGUGCUCCUCUGAGUGUUGGUCCGAAACGGGCAGCCUGCGAGGCCACCUCGGGGAAACUCGAGGGAUGGUUUUACUCGUAGCUUGACCUAUCUGAGUGUGCCCUGAGAACGAGAUAUGUGCAGCUCCUAUCAGGAUUUGUCGGCACAUUCGGGCGGUGUUGCUGGACUUGUUUUACCAUUGUCGAGGAUGUCUUGUAGAACCAGGAUACCAAGUCUGAUCGGAAUGUCUCGGGAGGAGGUCUAUUCCUUCGUUGACCGUGAGAGCUUGUGAUAGGCUAAGUUGGGACACCCCUGCAGGGAUUUGAACUUUCGAAAGCCGUGCCCGCGGUUAUGGGCAGAUGGGAAUUUGUUAAUAUCCGGUUGUAGAAAACCUGAAGUUGACCUUAAUUAAAAUACAUCAACCGCGUGUGUAACCAUGAUGGUCUCUUUCCGGUGGAGUCCGGGAAGUGAACACGGUGUUGGAGUUAUGCUUGGCGUAGGUUGUUCUAAGAUCACUUCUUGAUCAUAGUUUCUCGAUCAUGCUUUGCCUUCUCUUCUCGCUCUCAUUUGCGUAUGUUAGCCACCAUAUAUGCUAGUCGCUUGCUGCAGCUCCACCUCAUACCUUUACCUUACCCAUAAGCUUAAAUAGUCUUGAUCGCGAGGGUGCGAGAUUGCUGAGUCCCCGUGGCUCACAGAUACUUCCAAAACCAGUUUCCAGGUGCCGAUGUUACUGAGCAGGUGACGCAACCAAGCUCAGGAGGAGCUCGAUGAAGAUCUUGUCCUUUGUGUUGUUUCGUUCUAGUUGGUCAUUAGUGGAGCCCAGUUGGGGUCGAUCGGGGACCUUUGUCGCAUUUGGGGUUCUUCUUUUAUUUUGGUUCCAUAGUCGGACCUUUAUUGUAUCUGAAUGAUGUAAUGCUUUAUUCAUGUAAUUGUGUGAAGUGGAGAUUGUAACCCAACUAUGUAUCUCUUUCCCCUAUGUAUUACAUGGGUUGUGUGAAGAUUACCUCACUUGCGACAUUGCUUUCAAUGCGGUUAUGCCUCUAAGUCGUG
RNAcentral lists this long non-coding RNA (16818 nucleotides) under Triticum aestivum (bread wheat). RNAcentral's name for it is "long non-coding RNA (TAES_LNC009659)". The record is from RNAcentral. Lineage: Eukaryota; Viridiplantae; Streptophyta; Magnoliopsida; Poales; Poaceae.